Hippocampus comes (tiger tail seahorse) is the source of this 846-nucleotide long non-coding RNA. RefSeq lists it as uncharacterized. The record is from RefSeq and is a predicted model, not a curated record. The transcript has 2 exons. Lineage: Eukaryota; Metazoa; Chordata; Actinopteri; Syngnathiformes; Syngnathidae.
CAUCUCGGGCAGCUGCUCCUCCAAGAGGUGCCCGGCGCUCUGCAGCUGCACGGGAGAAAGAGAAAAAAAAAAUGCGGGGAGCAGCACAGCACGGCGUCGUCCUUCACGUCUUUGGACUGCAGCAGCUACAGUGGGACAAGAACGGAAGCGGUGCCAAUUUAGACCGAGGCAGAUGCAAGCACGGCGACGUCCGGCGUAGUGACGAAGACGAGGAGGGAAGGAGGCGAGACGUAAUUUUACAGCACCGUGUGUACCAAAGAAAAAAAAAAAACGAGAUCAAUUUCAAAGGCGUUUUACGUUUCUAGGAGUCCAUGUCUAUAAAUCAAAAUAGAGUGGAAAAUGUUAUUUCGGUUGAUCAAUGGAAAAAGCAAAACCUCGAUCAGACAAAUUCAUGAAAGACAAACCAAACCGAUUUCUGUCUUAAAAAAAACAUUUAUUUGUUCUUCACUGUGAGCAUAAUCAUCAUCGUUAGGUUGCCCUAAAUUUCUUUCCUAAAAGCACUGACUUGUCCAUUUCACGUCUGUUGGACUGGUUUUGGAAACUGUCCAUAUAUGAACCGUUUUCAGCUAUUUUCCGCCGAAAGACGUAGAAAUAUUCAGACUAAGAGAAACACAAUACCGCGAACGUACUUCUAUCACGAACUGUGACAGCGAACGUCCCUACAACGGGACACUCACGCUUCAAUUUAUGCGGACAUGUCAACUUAUGCCCAUUCCAAACUUUGCAAAUAUUCAAAUGCAAGACAAACGGCAUAAGCUGAGACGUCCACAUCAAUUUGGAUGAAAUUUGACGGGAGUAUUUUCUGCAUGUCAUGUCUGGGAAAACUUUUAAACUGGAAAAAAAAAA